AUGCUUCCAGUCCUCAUCUCGUUCCUGGGGGUGCAUUUUUUCCUGGGAGACAUCCAAGCACAGUCAGUUAUUCAGCCUGAUUCUUAUGUCUCUGUCUUCGAAGGCAACUCUGUGGCACUCAGAUGCAAUUGUUCCUAUGGUGGAGCUUCUUACCUCUUCUGGUACAUGCAUCACCAUGGCCAAGGCCUUCAGUUUCUCCUCAGGUACAUUUCAGGAGACCCUGUGGUUCAUGGCGUGAAUGGCUUUAAGGCUGAGUUUCAGAAGAGGAAGUCUUCCUUCCACCUGAAGAAAGCCUCUGUGCACCUGAGUGAUUCUGCUGUGUACUUCUGUGCUCUGAGUGUACAGUGUCUGGGGCUGCAGGGGGAGCUGAACACAAACCUGUAAGAUGC
Non-coding RNA from Phodopus roborovskii (desert hamster), 389 nucleotides. The record is from the annotation of a RefSeq genome assembly. NCBI's taxonomy places the organism in Eukaryota, Metazoa, Chordata, Mammalia, Rodentia, Cricetidae.